Molecule: long non-coding RNA, 7793 nt
Filed under: Lathyrus oleraceus (garden pea)
Lineage: Eukaryota; Viridiplantae; Streptophyta; Magnoliopsida; Fabales; Fabaceae
Description: Pisum sativum (pea) long non-coding RNA (PSAT_LNC036996)
Source: RNAcentral
AAUUUUAUAGAUGAGAGGGGCUCAUAUCACUUGUACAUGGUGUAUCGAUAUUUGAUAGACCACUGAAAAGUAAUCUACUGUAUAAUUUCUCUUACUCUUUUUCUUUUCAGAUUCAGCUAUACAUUGGUACAUUCUUUGGCGAAAAGAAUGUAAUUUCCAUAUAACGCCACAUUUUUGCGAUGCACAUUAUAGCCAAACUGAUUACACAUACAAACACGUAUGUCUACAUACAUAUAUCAAACAUCAAUAUUGAGUACAAGACCUAUUUACAAAAUAGACGGACAUCAAUAUUGAGCACAUGACCUAUUUACAAAAAAUAAAAAGACAAGCAUCAAUAAUGAGUAUGAAAUAUCUUGUAUAGUUGCAUUGGAGUCUGAUUCAUGAUAAAGAACAGGUAUCUUUUGCAGCUUAUAGUGAAAUGAUGAAACUUCAAAAGUACCUUGAGACUGUAUAUUGGCAAAUACUGUCCCUACUGAUUUUUCCACUCCACUUCCAAUGCAACCUCGUUACGGCGUUGAAAUGGAAGAGCAAAUGGGGGAUUGUACUGAAACAAAAUAAAAGAGUAACUACCAUCUGAAGAAGACAUAAAUGAGAAAGUAUUAGAGACAUUUAACCCAAAGAUUGCAUUAAGGAUUUAACCUGUGCAAUUUCUAUUGAAGUUCCCUCUUUAAUUUUGAAUUCUCCGUCAUUUUUCAAAGCUUCUCUCAGUUUCAGUUCACGCCGCUUAAUUUCUUCAUCAUUCACAAAACCUGAUUCAGUAUAAAGGAAAGAAAAGUAUAUAUUUGGUUUAGGACUUUACUUGAAUUUUCAAUAAAUAUUUUAUCCACAUAUAAGUAUUAAGAGUUGUCCGAUUUACUCAUCCAAUUACCCAACACGUGCACCAAAAAAAAGAGAGAAUGGGACGCAUCCAAAUAACUGUGUUUUGAGUUACUCCGCUUAAUAAUUCAUUAUAAAUAUUAGAUUUCAUCAAUCUAACCGUUGAAAUUUUAUAAAAAUUUGUGCAAUUGAUCUACUCAAUAAGAUUUUUCAAUUCAACGGUUGGAUUAGUAAAAUCUAAUAUUUAUAAUAAGUUAUUAAGCAGAGUAACUAAAUGUAGAGUUACUCCUAGAGUAAGUUGAUCUCUCACGCACACACAUAAAAACAUAGAGAUUCGCUGAAUUGUGUCGGACUACAAAUCUAUACGUAGAAAUACUAGCAGUAUAUUAUAAUUGAAUGAAAUUCAUCAUAAUAAAUCAUGCCGGUCUCAUUUCCUCUUUUGAGGUUCCCACAUGGAUUUCAUUUAAUAAUAUAGAGAAUGUUGAAAAAUUUGUUGCUACCAUUUCUCUGCAUACAAAUAUACAUGUGAAUGGAAUAAACCAAAUUGUGUGUUAUAUGUCCUAUCUCCUGUAAUAAUUACUUUAAAAUCUUAAUCUGUUACGUAUGAAAGAGCAGAAUGUAAUAAUAUAACAGUACAGCAGAGAAACAGAGGAGAAUGAGAGCUUUAUUAUAAUGAGCAGAAAUGGAAAGAGAUACAGAAAAGGGAAUGUAACCCUAGAUCUGACAAGAGCUAGGCUCCUAAUAGGAAGCUAUAGCUCCCUAUACAUGCUAGUAUAUCACUAUAAUCCAAGGCAAUCUAUCCAUUCUCUCAGAAAAGGGAAUGUAACCCUAGAUCUGACAAGAGCUAGGCUCCUAAUAGGAAGCUAUAGCUCCCUAUACAUGCUAGUAUAUCACUAUAAUCCAAGGCAAUCUAUCCAUUCUCUCUCUGAUUCCUUAUAUCGUGGAAAUGGGAUGCAAGGUGCUCUCCUCACUCAAGCCACGUCACUGUAUUGUAACUAACUAGCCACCAAUUCCCUUCUUACCCUUCCUUCUAGAAUAAACUUUCCAAGCUUAGGGUCCACUAGGUUCCCUGUACAUCAGCUGCUCACGUGGCGAUUCUUUCUCAACUAACUGGGGCUUAUCAAUACCCUCUCCUUCCGCAAUGACCUUGUCCUCAAGGCCAAACUUUGGAAAUUGGCUUCUGAUCAUUAUCUCAUCCGCCCAAGUUGCUUCUUCUGCUGUCUUGCCCUUCCAAUGUAUCAGGAUUUGUCUGAUUUCUUCAUCUUGUUUUUUCACCUUCCUAGUAGCUAGUACCGCCUCUGGUUCAUACACUUCAGUCUGUUCCUCCAAUAGAUCUGGUAACUCAUCCUCUUCAUGAUAACGGCCCACAGCUUUCUUCAGUAAUGAUACAUGAAAAACACGGUGCGCCCUGGACCCCUCUGGUAGCUUUAGUCUGUAUGCCACUGCUCCUAUCUUCUCAAUAAUGGGAUAAGGACCGUAGUAUCUUGCUGCUAAUUUAGCACUAAUUCUGGUCACUACCGACUGCUGCCUAUGCGCUCUAAGCUUGACAAACACCCACUCCCCACAUGCAAAACUCCUGUCAGUGCGUUUCUUAUCAGCUUGACUUUUCAUUUUAUCUUGUGCUCUCAACAAUUGGUUCCUCAAUUGUCUGAAAGCCUCGUCUCUGUCCAACAAGUUCCUCUGCACAGCUUCUACUCUAGUCUCUCCUACUACCUCAAAUGGUGUUCUCUCGGUAGCAGCAUAAAACGUUGUGUUGAACCAAUACUCGGCCCAGUGUAUCCAAGUUACCCAUGUCCUAGGUUAAUCCGCAAUGAAGCACCUCAAAUAGGUCUCCAAACACCUAUUAACCACUUCUGUCGGACCAUCCGAUUCGGGGUGAUAUGCAGUACUCAUUUUCAGCUUAGUUCCCUGCAGUUUGAACAGCUCCUUCCAAAAACUGCUCAUAAAAAUGGGAUCCCUGUCACUCACUAUGGAAAGAGGUAUCCCUUGGAGUUUGACUACCUCCUUACCAAAUACUUCGGCAAUACUCCUAACGGUAUAUGGAUGUCGCAGAGGAAUAAAAUGAGAGUACUUGGACAAUCUGUCUACCACCACCAAAAUAGCUUCGAAGCCUUUUGAUUUUGGCAACCCGGUGAUGAAGUCAAUCGAUAUCCCAAAUUUGAUGAGGAUGGGUAGAGGUUGUAACAAACCUCCUGGAGAUGAAGCUAUGUACUUCUGUCUUUGGCAAAUGCCGCACCUUCUUACAAAGUCUUGUACGGUUCCUUUCAUGCCUAUCCAAUACAGAUUAGCAGCUAAUCUUCUAUCAGUUUUUGUAGAACCCCGAAUGUCCUCCCUGGGGUGUUGAAUGGAAUUCCUCUAACAAUGUAGGAAUUAACAAGGACUUAUUGGAAAUCACCAACCUACCUUCAUACAUCAAGACCCCUUGCUUGUACUCAUAACCCGACCAUGAUUCUGCAUUCUGUUGGACCCCUGCUAUUAUUCUCUGCAACCUUUCGUCCUGUUGAUUUUCUGUUUUAAUCUGUUCCUCUUGAAGCCAUUUCCAUUGGUAAUUCAUGGUAGCUAACUCCCCUCCCUCAUGAAUUCUGGAUAAAGCAUCUGCCCCCUUGUUCAAUUUACCCUGUUUGUACACAAUCUCUCAGUCAUAACCCAAUAAUUUAGCAGUCCAGUUCUGCUGUUCUGCGGUUACAAUUCUCUGUUGCAGUAGCUGUUUGAGGCUUUUUUGGUCAGUUGAUACUACAAAUUUUCUUCCCAACAAGUAUGGUCUCCAGUGCUGGAUUGCUAAAACUACUGCCAUCAAUUCUUUUUCAUAUGCAGAUUUAGCUAAAUUCUUCACACCAAGGGCCUUGCUGUAAUAUGGCUAUUGGUUUUUAUCUGCAUCAAGAUCGCCCUAUCCUCCUCCGAAGCAUCACACUCAAUCAAAAACUCUGGAAAAAUCGGGUAAAGCUAACAUAGGUGCUGAUGUAAGCCUCUCCUUCAACUCGUCAAAGGCUUGCUGAGCUUCCACUCCCCAUUUGAAACUAUCCUUCUUGGUAAGCUCAUUUAUGGUCUAGCAAUUUUUCCAUAAUCCUUUAUAAACUUCCUUGAGUCCUAAGAACCCUCUCACCCCUUUUACAUUCUUAGGUUGUGGCCAUUGCAUCACACUGGCCACCUUUCCAGGAUUACAGCUACACCGUGUUCUGUGAUCAUGUGCCCCAAAUACUCCACACUCUGCUGGCAAAAAAACACUUCUUCUUGUUAGCUACUAGGCUGUGAUUAGCUAAUAAACUCAACACUUCCUCUAAAUGCCGCACAUGAGUCUCCCAACUCUUGCUAUAGAUGAGGAUGUCAUCAAAGAAGACCAGCACGUGUUUCCUCAGUAGAGAACGAAAAACAUCAUCCAUUAGGCUUUGGAACGUUGAUGGAGCAUUCAUGAGUCCGAACGGUAUCACAAGGAACUCAUAAUGCCCUUCAUGUGUCCUGAAAGCCGUUUUGCACACAUCAGAUUCCUUCACCCUCACUUGGUGGUAUCCCGAUUUCAAAUCCAAUUUCGAAAAGAAUUUCGCUCCAUGCAACUCAUCCAAUAACUCUUCGAUCACCAGUAUACGAAAUUUGUCAGGUACCGUGAUCUUAUUUAGAGCGCGAUAAUCAAUGCACAUUCGCCAUGUGCAGUCCUUCUUCUUCACCAAAAUCACCGAACUUGAGAACGAACUCGUGUUGUGGCGAAUGAUCCCCGUAGCCAACAUCUCAUUUACCUGCUUCUCUAUUUCAUUCUUGUGAUGGUGGGGAUAGCGAUACGGCCUCACGUUUACGGCUCCUUGUCCUCCCACAAGGUUGAUUGCAUGCUCUUUGUUUCUUUUCGGAGGAAGACCUAGCACUGUUUGGAACACCUGAUCGUAUUUGCGUAAUACUGUUUCCAACUCCCUUUGUAGCUGGGCAGACAACGUAUUUCUUUUAGCCUCUUUGGGUUUUGUUUUCUCUACUGUCCACAAUAAAUCCUGCAUAUGGAGCCUGGGCUUACUCAGUANGCGGAGAUUUAAUCAAUUUUAAGAAUUGUAUCGGGUGUGACACAACCUAACAAAACCAACUUGUAAGAAGAAAAUUGUCCCACACUUAUAAACAUAUUUCUAGACCAUAUCUCAUUCGAUGUGGGACUCUUUAACAGAGACCAUAUCUUUCAGCCGUUUUUGUUAAAAUUAUUCAAACUAGCAGGCACAAAAUGGAGUUCAGCUACUACGUAUCAUCCUCAACAACAGAUGUUUAGAGACAUACUUGCAAUGCCAUAACAGGUGGUUCCCACCCACCGCAAGGCAUGGCCAUGGCCACUCAGUUGGGUUGAAUUUUGGUACGGAGCCAACUUUCAGAGCUCAACUACAACACAAUUCUGAAGAGAGUGGGAAAUGGCAUAUAAACGGAGAGUAGUAGUCGGAUACAUCGAGUUUUUCAUGUCUCAUUAUUGAAGCAGUCCUCUCACCUAAUACUCAAGCACAGCCCCUGCCUUCUAUGUUGACUGAAGGCUUAAGAUUAAAAGUACAAGCCAAAGAUAUGGUUUCAAGACGAUGAUAAUGGCAACUAGCCAGUGCUCCUCAAAUUACAAGAUCUUCCAUCCUUUGAGAAUUCAUGGGAAACUAUGGACUAUGUUCAGUGUUCCGACCACCCUAAGAGGUCUUUUUUUCAUAAAAUAUGAGUAGGGGUCUUAUCUAUAAACAAAUGCAGGUAGCCUCAUGUAAACCGCUAUUAUUACUACAAGAGAAGUAUAAUAGGUGGACAACUUUUAAGGUAUUCACCUGUAGACCAAUUACAUAUUAAUCCUUUCUAUUUGUACCUGCCAACAACGUUUCAUCCUUAUCAUUCUCAUAAGAUUCCCCUGCUACAGGAAAUACGUCCAUCAUAGCACAAGAUAUGGGGGCAUGUUCUGGCUGGGAUCAUAUCCAUAUUCAACCGCAAGUAAGAACUCGUUACGAGGAGAGGAUGGGAUGAGGAUACUAUGUUUAGCAACUAGCAUUUGAUAUUGGAUGGAGUUGCUUUUAACUAGUAGGCAGUCAAAGUAGGAGAAACUGAUGGCAAAGUUGUAGGUUUCAAGGGAGGGGGAGGCAAUCAGAAUUCUAAACCAUUGCAGGCAGACGACAACCCUGAAAAUCUGAGACAUGUGAUUUUGGUGGCGGCCACCGCCUCAGUCUCCAUACACUCAAACAAGAUGAAAGUCUCACAUUAAUUAAAAGAGUGUUGUGUUACACAAACAAAAGGAAUUAAGGGGAAUUAAUAAUUGUAGCAGCUGUUAGCAGCAACAGGAUAGAGACCACUAGUUAUUUCCUCAGCCAUUCUUGAUCAGAAAAUCAGUAUUAUUCAAACUAGAAGGCACAGCAUUGAAGUCCAAUACUGCAUAUCCCUAAACAAGAUGGAUAGAGAAGUCAUAAAUCGAUGUUUAAGAGACAAUGUGAUGUAUGACAGGUUCUCAGCCAAGACACAGUGGCCAAACCCCCUAGUUGAGCUGAAUUUUGGUACAAUACCAACUUUCACAGUUCAAACUAACUCACACAAUUCAAGGCUCUGUAUGGCCGUGACCCUCUCACCCACUUUUCCAUGCUACUAUCCAUUCGACAGUUAAAAGAUGUUAACCUAAUGUCUGAAGAGAGAGAGAUCAACUAUUAGACAAGUUGAAAAACAAUUCAGUGAAGGCCAGAGAUAGAAUGAAACUGCAACCUGACAAGAAGAGAAGAAAGUUAGAGUUUAAGGAGGGAGAUAUAGCGUACUUAAAAUUACAGGCCCUACCACUGCAAGUCUUUGACUAGAAGAGUGAAUAAAAUGCUAACCUCGGUAACUAUGGGCCAUUUCCAAUUCCGAAGAGACUGGAAAAUGGCAAUAAACUGAGAGAUAGUAUUCGGAUACAUCGAGUUUUUCAUGUCCUCGUUGUUAAAGGCGGCCAUCUCACCUAAUACUCAAGCACAGCCUCUGCCUCCUAUGUUGACUGAAGGUUAAGAUAAGAAAUACAGCCAGAAGAUCUGGUUUCAAGCAAUGAUAAUGGCAACAAACUAGUACUCCUCAAAUGUAGAAUCAGCUACCUUUUGAGAAUUCAUGGGAACUACGGACUACACUCAGUGUUUUUUCCAUCUAUUCUCCUUGAGGACAAAGUGGCUCAAUUAGAAAAGGAUAAAUAGGAAUCAGUUAGGAGUGACAAAUUAAACCAUUUUCUAGUGAAUAACAAAGUAAUUAAAUUCAGUGAAGUUCCAGUUCUAACACACGAUAUACCUCGUUUUUAAUCCUUUUAUCUAUCUCAAUGGCCUUUCUAGACUUCAACAUUAAAUCUAUUUUUAGGUCAUGUUUUGGCCUUAGGGCAGUCUUGUUCUGAAGUUUAAUGCUUUCGCUUCUCUGUGUGUUUGGUUUUGCACUAUUUUAUGUAAUAAACUCGUUAUUUCUUCUGUUUAGAUCUAUCUGUUUUGGAUAUGCUAUAUUUCACGACAGUAAGUUCCGUGCAGUGCUAACAGAGAAACAUGUUCCAAGACAAAAUGCAGAUGGUUGAUUCUACGAACCUGAGUAGGCUACAUUGCUGUGAGGAUAUUAUUGCUAAAUUUUAAUAGAUGAGAGGGGCUCAUAUCACUUGUAAUGGUGUAUCGAUAUUUGAUAGACCACUGAAAAGUAAUCUACUGUAUAAUUUCUCUUACUCUUUUUCUUUUCAGAUUCAGCUUACAAUUGGUACAUUCUUUGGCGAAAAGAAUGUAAUUUCCAUAUAACGCCACAUUUUUGGAUGCACAUUUAGCCCAAACUGAUUACACAUACAAACACUAUGUCUACAUACAUAUAUCAAACAUCAAUAUUGAGUACAUAGACCUAUUUACAAAAAUGACGGACAUCAAUAUUGAGCACAUGACCUAUUUACAAAAAAUAAAAAGACAAGCAUCCAAUAAUGAGUAUGAAAUAUCUUGUAUAGUUGGCAUUGGAGUCUGAUUCAUGAUAAAGAACAGGUAUCUUUGCAGCUUAUAGUGAAAUGAUGAAACUUCAAA